UGUCAAAGAAUGAAGCUUCGGUAGAUUUCUUUUUCGGAAAGCGGCGGACGGGUGUAGUAACGCGUAGGCAACCUGCCCUUCACAGGGGGAUAGCCACCGGAAACGGUGAUUAAGACCCCAUAACGCGAAGAUGUCACAUGGCAAUUUCGCCAAAGAUUUAUCGGUGAAGGAUGGGCCUGCGUCUGAUUAGCUGGUUGGUGAGGUAACGGCCCACCAAGGCGACGAUCAGUAGCCGAACUGAGAGGUUGAUCGGCCACAUUGGAACUGAGACACGGUCCAAACUCCUACGGGAGGCAGCAGUGGGGAAUAUUGCACAAUGGGCGAAAGCCUGAUGCAGCAACGCCGCGUGAAGGAUGAAGGUCUUCGGAUCGUAAACUUCUGUCCUUGGGGAAGAAACAAAUGACGGUACCCUUGGAGGAAGCCCCGGCUAACUACGUGCCAGCAGCCGCGGUAAUACGUAGGGGGCGAGCGUUAUCCGGAAUUAUUGGGCGUAAAGAGUGCGUAGGUGGUCAUCUAAGCGCAGGGUCUAAGGCAGAGGCUUAACUUCUGUUCGCCCUGCGAACUGGGUGACUUGAGUGCAGGAGAGGAAAGCGGAAUUCCUAGUGUAGCGGUGGAAUGCGUAGAUAUUAGGAGGAACACCAGUGGCGAAGGCGGCUUUCUGGACUGAAACUGACACUGAGGCACGAAAGCGUGGGGAGCAAACAGGAUUAGAUACCCUGGUAGUCCACGCCGUAAACGAUGAGCACUAGGUGUCGGGGUCGCAAGACUUCGGUGCCGGAGUUAACGCAUUAAGUGCUCCGCCUGGGGAGUACGCACGCAAGUGUAAAACUCAAAGGAAUUGACGGGGACCCGCACAAGCAGCGGAGCAUGUGGUUUAAUUCAAAGCAACGCGAAGAACCUUACCAGGACUUGACA
Molecule: ribosomal RNA, 915 nt
Filed under: uncultured bacterium
Lineage: Bacteria
Description: bacterial SSU rRNA
Rfam family: Bacterial small subunit ribosomal RNA
Source: RNAcentral